GGUGGCUGGGCCGGGCACGGGUCCGCUGCGCUGAGACCGCUGCUGCCGGGGAAAUCGCCUCAGCCGGCAGCUUGUUCAACGCCGGCGGCAGCCGC
Molecule: transfer RNA, 95 nt
Filed under: Planctomycetota bacterium
Lineage: Bacteria; Pseudomonadati; Planctomycetota
Description: tRNA-Leu
Source: RNAcentral